RNAcentral lists this ribosomal RNA (446 nucleotides) under uncultured Sphingomonas sp. RNAcentral's name for it is "bacterial SSU rRNA". It matches the Rfam family "Bacterial small subunit ribosomal RNA", at positions 939 to 1382 of the family's 1533-position model. Lineage: Bacteria; Pseudomonadati; Pseudomonadota; Alphaproteobacteria; Sphingomonadales; Sphingomonadaceae. The record is from RNAcentral.
AUGUGGUUUAAUUCGAAGCAACGCGCAGAACCUUACCAGCGUUUGACAUGGUAGGACGACUGGCAGAGAUGCCUUUCUUCCCUUCGGGGACCUACACACAGGUGCUGCAUGGCUGUCGUCAGCUCGUGUCGUGAGAUGUUGGGUUAAGUCCCGCAACGAGCGCAACCCUCGACUUUAGUUACCAUCAUUAAGUUGGGUACUUUAAAGUAACCGCCGGUGAUAAGCCGGAGGAAGGUGGGGAUGACGUCAAGUCCUCAUGGCCCUUACGCGCUGGGCUACACACGUGCUACAAUGGCAAGUACAGUGGGCAGCAAUCCCGCGAGGGUGAGCUAAUCUCCAAAACUUGUCUCAGUUCGGAUUGUUCUCUGCAACUCGAGAGCAUGAAGGCGGAAUCGCUAGUAAUCGCGGAUCAGCAUGCCGCGGUGAAAUACGUUCCCAGGCCGUUC